AGAGUUUGAUCCUGGCUCAGGAUGAACGCUGGCGGCGUGCCUAACACAUGCAAGUCGAGCGAGAAGUUUAGAAAUGAAUCUUCGGAUGAUUUUUUAGAUGGAGAGCGGCGGACGGGUGAGUAACGCGUGGGUAACCUACCUCAUACAAAGGGAUAACGCAUUGAAAAGUGUGCUAAUACCUUAUAAGACCACAGUGCGGCAUCGUACAGUGGUAAAAACUCCGGUGGUAUGAGAUGGACCCGCGUCUGAUUAGCUAGUAGGUAGUGUAGAGGACUACCUAGGCGACGAUCAGUAGCCGGCCUGAGAGGGUGAACGGCCACAUUGGAACUGAGACACGGUCCAAACUCCUACGGGAGGCAGCAGUGGGAAUAUUGCACAAUGGGGGAAACCCUGAUGCAGCAACGCCGCGUGAAGGAAGAAGGUUUUCGGAUCGUAAACUUCUAUCAGCAAGGAAGAUAAUGACGGUACUUGACUAAGAAGCCCCGGCUAACUACGUGCCAGCAGCCGCGGUAAUACGUAGGGGGCAAGCGUUAUCCGGAAUUACUGGGUGUAAAGGCGCGUAGGCGGUUUGGCAAGUCGGUUGUGAGAGCCCUCGGCUCAACCGAGGAAUUGCAUCCGAUACUGCCAGACUAGAGUGCGGGAGGGGAGAGUGGAACUCCUGGUGGAGCGGUGAAAUGCGUAGAUAUCAGGAGGAACGCCGGUGGUGAAAGCGACUCUCUGGUCCGUUACUGACGCUGAGGCGCGAAAGCCAGGGGAGCGAACGGGAUUAGAUACCCCGGUAGUCCUGGCCCUAAACGAUGAGCACUAGGUAGUGGGGGGUCCGAUCUCUUCACUGCCGGAGCAAAUGUGUUAAGUGCUCCGCCUGGGGAGUACAGUCGCAAGGCCGAAACUCAAAGGAAUUGACGGGGGCUCACACAAGCGGUGGGGGAUGUUGCUUAAUUCGAAGCAACGCGAAGAACCUUACCUGGGCUUGACAUGUGGGUGGUACGGACCCGAAAGGGCGAGGACCUGGUUUACCAGGAGCCUACACAGGUGUUGCAUGGCUGUCGUCAGCUCGUGUCGUGAGAUGUUGGGUUAAGUCCCGUAACGAGCGAAACCCUUAUCGUUAGUUGCCAGCGGGUCAUGCCGGGGACUCUAGCGAGACUGCCGGUGUCAAACCGGAGGAAGGUGGGGACGACGUCAAGUCAUCAUGGCCCUUAUGCCCAGGGCUGCAAACGUCCUACAAUGGUCGGUUCAAAGGGAAGCAAGACCGCAAGGUGGAGCGAAUCCCAUAAAGCCGGCCCCAGUUCGGAUUGUGGGCUGCAAUUCGCCCGCAUGAAGCCGGAAUCGCUAGUAAUCGCGGAUCAGCACGCCGCGGUGAAUAUGUUCCUGAGCCUUGUACAUACCGCCCGUCAAGCCACGGGAAUCGGUAGCACCCGAAGUCGUUUGCCUGACCCUUCGGGGAGGGCGGCGCCGACGGUGAGAUCGAUGACUGGGACUAAGUCGAACAAGGUA
This 1494-nucleotide ribosomal RNA is filed under the name metagenome. RNAcentral's name for it is "bacterial SSU rRNA". It matches the Rfam family "Bacterial small subunit ribosomal RNA". The record is from RNAcentral.